UAUAGCUCAGCUGGGAGAGCGCUUGCAUGGCAUGCAAGAGGUCGACGGUUCGAUCCCGUCUAGCUCCACCA
Molecule: transfer RNA, 71 nt
Filed under: Pseudomonas aeruginosa
Lineage: Bacteria; Pseudomonadati; Pseudomonadota; Gammaproteobacteria; Pseudomonadales; Pseudomonadaceae
Also listed under: 1 other name
Description: tRNA-Ala
Rfam family: tRNA
About the family: Transfer RNA (tRNA) molecules are approximately 80 nucleotides in length.
Source: RNAcentral